This 709-nucleotide long non-coding RNA is filed under the name Capra hircus (goat). RNAcentral's name for it is "lncRNA (ENSCHIG00000004590.1)". The record is from RNAcentral. Lineage: Eukaryota; Metazoa; Chordata; Mammalia; Artiodactyla; Bovidae.
GGCUUUGAACACCUUUGUAUCCAAAUGAGAUGGCAUCUGUUGAGAUGGAUAGAAUUCUCUGAGUGGUAAUGUUUGGUUGCCUAGCAACCAGUCAUCUGGUGUUUGGGGAAUUAGGCAAUGAGCAGUAAGUCUGACAAAAGAAAGAAGCCACAAGAUCUUUUACAAGGGCUAAUUUAAUCAUCUGUCAUCUGCUUAUCUGAAGCAUGCACACUAAAGUGGAUGGUAGAUCUGGUAAUCUGAGGCUCCGAGCUGAAACCAAGGUCCAGGGCUCUUAAUUACCAGCCCAAUCUCCAUUUCAAGCUCUUAUUUUUCAUGUCUUGGAUGCCUGCUUUUUCUUGUUCAAACUUUGGUAAAGAGUGAAGUGCUGAGUUCUUGGCAGGUUGACUGUGAAACUCACGCCGCAACCAAUUUGGAUUUUGGAUUGUUUUCCUGCAUCCACGCUACUGUGAGACCACAACGAACUGUGCUGAGACUAAUGAAGACAACAGAAAUAUAAAUAGUAAUAAUGUAGUGAGAGAAAUCAGAUAUUUACAAAGAAUUCUGGGUUCCCAGUGGAUGUUUCAUUAGUUCAUGAGUAGGUUGAAAUACAUUGUUGAACUAAUGCCAAGUUUAUUUUCUUAGAUUUUCCUACAACUUCACCCAUAAUCUUAGAGUUAAGUUGUAUCACGGUUUAUCAGUCUUGCCACAAAAUGUAUACAUUGAAUUCCUG